Molecule: ribosomal RNA, 372 nt
Filed under: uncultured bacterium
Lineage: Bacteria
Description: bacterial SSU rRNA
Rfam family: Bacterial small subunit ribosomal RNA
Source: RNAcentral
UACGUAGGGUGCAAGCGUUAAUCGGAAUUACUGGGCGUAAAGCGUGCGCAGGCGGUUUUGUAAGUCUGUCGUGAAAUCCCCGGGCUCAACCUGGGAAUUGCGAUGGAGACUGCAAGGCUAGAAUCUGGCAGAGGGGGGUAGAAUUCCACGUGUAGCAGUGAAAUGCGUAGAUAUGCGGAGGAACACCGAUGGCGAAGGCAAUCCCCUGGGCCUGUACUGACGCUCAUGCACGAAAGCGUGGGGAGCAAACAGGAUUAGAUACCCUGGUAGUCCACGCCCUAAACGAUGUCUACUAGUUGUCGGGUCUUAAUUGACUUGGUAACGCAGCUAACGCGUGAAGUAGACCGCCUGGGGAGUACGGUCGCAAGAUUA